Molecule: long non-coding RNA, 1682 nt
Filed under: Pandoravirus dulcis
Description: putative ncRNA
Source: RNAcentral
CGUGGCCGUUCUUCUUGCCGCCGCGCCACCGACCCUCGUAGCGGGUGCCGUCGGUCGAUGUGAUCUCACCGUGACCGUCCCUGUGGUCGCGAUGCCACUGGCCCUCGUAGCGCUCGCCCGUGCCAAACAUCAUUGUGCCACGGCCGUGCCUCUGGCCGUCGUGCCAGUCGCCCUCGUAGCGCGUGCCGUCGGCAUAGGUCAUUGAGCCGCGGCCGUGCGGAUUAUCAUAGCGCCAUUGACCCUCAUAGCGCGUGCCGUCAGACAGCGUGUUUGUGCCGUGGCCAUGCCUCUGGCCGUCAUGCCAGUCGCCCUCAUAGCGCUCGCCGUCGGCGCGUGUGAGCGUGCCCCUCCCGCGCGCCAGGUGCAUGUGCCAGUCGCCCUCGUAACACGUGCCAUCAGGAAAGGUCAGGGAGCCGUGGCCGUGCCAGAGGUCCUCGUGCCACUGGCCCUCAUAGCGCUUGCCGCUGGCAUAGACCUUGGAACCGCGCCCGUGGCUCCUCGCCAGGUGGUCAAACUCGCCGUCGUACCGGCUGCCCUUGGCCCAUAUGUAGGUGCCCCUGCAGAUCGUCUCGGCCUGUGCCUUGCCGACAAAGACGUCGCCAUUGUCAUAGGUUUCAACGAUCUCGCCAUAAGGCUGGCCAUAGUGCCAGACACCCUCGCGCCGAUCGCCUGACGCAUAUGCGCGCGUGCCGUGCCCGUGCGGCUCGUCGCGCUCGCACUCGCCCUCGUAGCGUCCGUCCGCGCCAUAGCACAACGUGCCCACGGCGAGCCGCUUGCCGUCUUCCCAACGACCCCUGAACGCGACGCCGGUGGGGUAGCGCUCGAUGCCAUCGCCGUGCAUUCGACCACGCACCCAGUGGCCUUGGCGCACUCUGCCUGCCGAGUGCGAUGGUGACAGGAUGCCCGAGGCGACGACCGCGCGCGGCCGCACUGGGCCACACCCAGGAGUCAUCGCGGCGUCGACCAUGACGCCAAAGCCGUGGGGUUGGCCGUCGACGACGUCGCCCCAAUAGGCGCACUGCCCACACUCUGCCCAUACGGCGCCGACGUCGGUGCCGUCGGGCCGCGCGACAUGCGCCUGCGCACGGUAGAUCCAGCGCCAAUCGACACCGCGAGGCCACGGCGUCUCGUGCAUCGGUGGUCCAAAGUGCACCAGGCACAGGCGACGCCACAGCGCGGCAUCUGCCGCCAGCGCGUGGUGGCGUCGCGAUGUGUGUGACCACGCGACGAGCGCCCUGGCGUCGUCCACGCCCAAGAGGAUGUGCAACACCACCUCGUCGGGCAGCCAUUCGAACCAGGGCGCGUCGGCCCCGGCCGGGCGCGCGUCCUCUGUCUUGGGCACUUUGGGAGCGCGCGCGAGAGCGCAGCCGCGGUUCCCGUGGGUCCUCUUCAUUCGCCUUUGUCCUCUUUUUUUUUCUUUUCGGUGGUCACAAGUCUGGUGAAGCACAGGACCGGAAUGGACGUAGAGAAAAAAAAAGAAAAAAAAGAUGGAGCGACGCACCAACAGAGGCGCACUGCCGCAGCGUGACCGCCCUGCCUCUGCACCGCGAGGAAAACCCGAUAAACCGAUCGACGAAAAAUAGCCCUGGCGAGAUGCAGCAAGAUGACAAAAUGAUGCCCACAAACACAUCAAAAGAAAAAUGUGGAGGAGAAAAAAAAGAGACCUGAUGGUUUCAUUUUGC